CCAACAUCCAUAAUGGAGUCAACUGGAUGGUUGAAGGAUGAGGUUCAACAGGCCAGGCCUGGACCCAUCCUGAAAAAUUGAAGAUGUAGGACUAGGAUUUGAACCCGGCCCUCCAGGAUGGCAAGCCACAGCUUUGCCAUGUGAUCAUCUAACCCAUGUGUCAGUCCAGAGGUCCUACAGUUGAUUUUAUGAAGUGUUGUUAUCUGAACAUAAAAAUCUUUCAUGAAUAUGUUCAUUAUCUGAUUCAGGGCUGUCCAAUUAUAAUGACCCCAAAGACUGCAACCAUUGUUAUUAGAGAUACAGAGGGCCGCAGCUACAAAAAAGAGAGAGUUGAUACCCCUCCCCCUCUUUUUUGUAGC
Molecule: long non-coding RNA, 359 nt
Filed under: Androctonus crassicauda
Lineage: Eukaryota; Metazoa; Arthropoda; Arachnida; Scorpiones; Buthidae
Source: RNAcentral